This 492-nucleotide ribosomal RNA is filed under the name uncultured bacterium. RNAcentral describes it as "partial 16S ribosomal RNA". It matches the Rfam family "Bacterial small subunit ribosomal RNA", at positions 29 to 507 of the family's 1533-position model. The record is from RNAcentral.
AGUGAACGCUGGCGGUAGGCCUAACACAUGCAAAUCGAACGGCAGCACAGUAAGAGCUUGCUCUUACGGGUGGCGAGUGGCGGACGGGUGAGGAAUACAUCGGAAUCUACUUUUUCGUGGGGGAUAACGUAGGGAAACUUACCCUAAUACCGCAUACGACCUACGGGUGAAAGCAGGGGAUCUUCGGACCUUGCGCGAUUGAAUGAGCCGAUGUCGGAUUAGCUAGUUGGCGGGGUAAAGGCCCACCAAGGCGACGAUCCGUAGCUGGUCUGAGAGGAUGAUCAGCCACACUGGAACUGAGACACGGUCCAGACUCCUACGGGAGGCAGCAGUGGGGAAUAUUGGACAAUGGGCGCAAGCCUGAUCCAGCCAUACCGCGUGGGUGAAGAAGGCCUUCGGGUUGUAAAGCCCUUUUGUUGGGAAAGAAAAGCAGCAGGUUAAUACCCCGCUGUUCUGACGGUACCCAAAGAAUAAGCACCGGCUAACUUCGUG